Molecule: ribosomal RNA, 433 nt
Filed under: uncultured bacterium
Lineage: Bacteria
Description: partial 16S ribosomal RNA
Rfam family: Bacterial small subunit ribosomal RNA
Source: RNAcentral
AACGAACGCUGGCGGCAUGCCUAACACAUGCAAGUCGAACGAGACCUUCGGGUCUAGUGGCGCACGGGUGCGUAACGCGUGGGAACCUGCCCUUAGGUUCGGAAUAACUCCCCGAAAGGGGUGCUAAUACCGGAUAAUGUCUUCGGACCAAAGAUUUAUCGCCUUUGGAUGGGCCCGCGUUGGAUUAGCUAGUUGGUAGGGUAAAAGCCUACCAAGGCGACGAUCCAUAGCUGGUCUGAGAGGAUGAUCAGCCACAAUGGGACUGAGACACGGCCCAGACUCCUACGGGAGGCAGCAGUGGGGAAUAUUGGACAAUGGGCGAAAGCCUGAUCCAGCAAUGCCGCGUGAGUGAUGAAGGCCUUAGGGUUGUAAAGCUCUUUUACACGGGAUGAUAAUGACAGUACCGGGAGAAUAAGCUCCGGCUAACUCCGUG